GUGGGGAAUCUUAGACAAUGGGCGCAAGCCUGAUCUAGCCAUGCCGCGUGAGUGAUGAAGGCCCUAGGGUUGUAAAGCUCUUUCAGCUGGGAAGAUAAUGACGGUACCAGCAGAAGAAGCCCCGGCUAACUCCGUGCCAGCAGCCGCGGUAAUACGGAGGGGGCUAGCGUUGUUCGGAAUUACUGGGCGUAAAGCGCGCGUAGGCGGACUGAAAAGUUGGGGGUGAAAUCCCGGGGCUCAACCUCGGAACUGCCUUCAAAACUAUCAGUCUGGAGUUCGAGAGAGGUGAGUGGAAUUCCGAGUGUAGAGGUGAAAUUCGUAGAUAUUCGGAAGAACACCAGUGGCGAAGGCGACUCACUGGCCCAAUACUGACGCUGAGGCGCGAAAGCGUGGGGAGCAAACAGGAUUAGAUACCCCAGUAGUCC
This 425-nucleotide ribosomal RNA is filed under the name uncultured bacterium. RNAcentral's name for it is "partial 16S ribosomal RNA". It matches the Rfam family "Bacterial small subunit ribosomal RNA", at positions 354 to 796 of the family's 1533-position model. The record is from RNAcentral.